This 492-nucleotide ribosomal RNA is filed under the name uncultured bacterium. RNAcentral describes it as "partial 16S ribosomal RNA". It matches the Rfam family "Bacterial small subunit ribosomal RNA", at positions 29 to 507 of the family's 1533-position model. The record is from RNAcentral.
AGUGAACGCUGGCGGUAGGCCUAACACAUGCAAGUCGAACGGCAGCACAGUAAGAGCUUGCUCUUACGGGUGGCGAGUGGCGGACGGGUGAGGAAUACAUCGGAAUCUACUUUUUCGUGGGGGAUAACGUAGGGAAACUUACGCUAAUACCGCAUACGACCUACGGGUGAAAGCAGGGGAUCUUCGCACCUUGCGCGAUUGAAUGAGCCGAUGUCGGAUUAGCUAGUUGGCGGGGUAAAGGCCCACCAAGGCGACGAUCCGUAGCCGGUCUGAGAGGAUGAUCGGCCACACUGGAACUGAGACACGGUCCAGACUCCUACGGGAGGCAGCAGUGGGGAAUAUUGGGCAAUGGGCGCAAGCCUGAUCCAGCCAUACCGCGUGGGUGAAGAAGGCCUUCGGGUUGUAAAGCCCUUUUGUUGGGAAAGAAAAGCAGCAGGUUAAUACCCCGCUGUUCUGACGGUACCCAAAGAAUAAGCACCGGCUAACUUCGUG